AAGUGAUCGUGUGUGGGGGAGGAGGAGAGUUUAUGCGCGCGCGCGCCUCCUCCUCCCCACGCCAAUCUUGUGUGAAACCGUUAUUCUGUGGUGUGUGUAUGCGUUGGUGUGUGAUGUGUUUACAGCACUCCCACCAGCAUCACAAACACAAUAAUCUCUCUUUAACCUUUGUCUAACAUGAUGUACCCACAAUUCAAAA
Molecule: unclassified non-coding RNA, 199 nt
Filed under: soil metagenome
Description: partial internal transcribed spacer 1
Source: RNAcentral